This 205-nucleotide long non-coding RNA is filed under the name Elaeis guineensis (African oil palm). RNAcentral describes it as "long non-coding RNA (EGUI_LNC019489)". The record is from RNAcentral. Lineage: Eukaryota; Viridiplantae; Streptophyta; Magnoliopsida; Arecales; Arecaceae.
GGGUUCAGUGGUGAUCGCCUUCACCAAAAAAUGGUUGCAGACAAUGGGCUCCAGCUUGUAAAAAAAAUAGAUAAGUUGGAGGGAGGAUUUCAUCGGAUUGAUGUAUGUGAAUAAUAAUGAAAUUCUUUGUGCAACAUGGGCGGGGUAGAAAAUCCGACGUAGAAUAUAUCAUCUCAUUCGAUUGGUUUACAUAGUCAUCACUUUC